UAAAAUAGGGAACGAAGAGUGCCUUCAAGUCAGCCCUAUCUCCCAGGCAGAUAACAACUCAGCCACACCCUCCUCCUAGGCUAAACACACCUCCCCCAGCUGAUUGGUCAGUACACUCUAGCAUUACUUUCAAUGAAGCUGCCACAUAUGGAGUGUGUGAUGUCAUCUGCUCCUCCCUUUGGUGCUGUGCUGUGUGAUCUGCUCCUCCUGUAUCAUGGCUGCUGAAGUCUGGAGGGAAAGUGAUUUAAAAAGAGAGAAGAUUCCUGCUGAGAAGCAGAAUUUCACUGAGAAGUUUUAUGUAGGAGACUGCACAGAACAGGUGGUAAUGUGGGUGCACGGAUUUGUGAUUAUUGGUGAAGCAUGGCACCAGUGAAAAGAAAAUAUGCCACUAGGAAGGCU
Molecule: long non-coding RNA, 399 nt
Organism: Xenopus laevis (African clawed frog)
Lineage: Eukaryota; Metazoa; Chordata; Amphibia; Anura; Pipidae
Exons: 2
Source: RefSeq, a predicted model, not a curated record